UNGUAGUGCCAUGUGCCUUCACAGUGCCCC
This 30-nucleotide non-coding RNA is filed under the name Mus musculus (house mouse). The record is from RNAcentral. Lineage: Eukaryota; Metazoa; Chordata; Mammalia; Rodentia; Muridae.